UUGAUCGCGCUCACGAUUUUUGGCGCAGUGCUGCUGAGGCAAAAAACCUCGACAGCCAGGAAAAGCGAACCAAAAACCCUAAACCUAGAGCGAGCAAUAUCGAUGGCGAAAUCGUCGACGUCCAUGGAGAAGCUUAAGGGAUUCUUGAGUUCUCAGAUCAGUGACGAGGAGAAGUGGGCUCUGAAUUCGCUGCUACGUGCUGCCGGGCUGUUUGCUGCAUCUAUAGUUCUAAUGCGCAACUUUGGAGAUCUUAUGGCUAUCUAAAGCUGAAGUAGUGGAUUGUAUUUCUUUUAUAUACUUAAAUGUUAUUUAGGAUGUUUUGCUUCCCAUCUUGUUAGCGGAUUGUAAUUCUUCUUUUAUAUACUUAAAUGUUAUUUCAGAUGUUUUGCUUGCAGUUUAUGUCAUAAGCUGCAUAUGCUUUUCAGGUAUCACGUUCAUAUGGCAUUUGGUA
Musa acuminata AAA Group (dessert banana) is the source of this 451-nucleotide long non-coding RNA. RefSeq lists it as uncharacterized. The record is from RefSeq and is a predicted model, not a curated record. Lineage: Eukaryota; Viridiplantae; Streptophyta; Magnoliopsida; Zingiberales; Musaceae. The transcript has 2 exons.